UGACUCUCGGCAACGGAUAUCUUGGCUCUCGCAUCGAUGAAGGACGUAGCGAAAUGCGAUACUUGGUGUGAAUUGCAGAAUCCCGUGAACCAUCGAGUCUUUGAACGCAAGUUGCGCCCGAGGCUAUCUGGCCAAGGGCACGCCUGCCUGGGCAUCACGCCUCGAGACGCUUCGUGCC
This 178-nucleotide ribosomal RNA is filed under the name Amaryllis paradisicola. Its description in RNAcentral is "5.8S ribosomal RNA". The stretch from base 2 to 157 matches the Rfam family "5.8S ribosomal RNA". From Rfam's summary of the family: 5.8S ribosomal RNA (5.8S rRNA) is a component of the large subunit of the eukaryotic ribosome. It is transcribed by RNA polymerase I as part of the 45S precursor that also contains 18S and 28S rRNA. Functionally, it is thought that 5.8S rRNA may be involved in ribosome translocation. Lineage: Eukaryota; Viridiplantae; Streptophyta; Magnoliopsida; Asparagales; Amaryllidaceae. The record is from RNAcentral.